RNAcentral lists this ribosomal RNA (593 nucleotides) under Erwinia sp. 190E. RNAcentral describes it as "bacterial SSU rRNA". It matches the Rfam family "Bacterial small subunit ribosomal RNA", at positions 67 to 651 of the family's 1533-position model. The record is from RNAcentral. Lineage: Bacteria; Pseudomonadati; Pseudomonadota; Gammaproteobacteria; Enterobacterales; Erwiniaceae.
CGGUAGCACAGAGAGCUUGCUCUCGGGUGACGAGUGGCGGACGGGUGAGUAAUGUCUGGGAAACUGCCCGAUGGAGGGGGAUAACUACUGGAAACGGUAGCUAAUACCGCAUAACGUCUUCGGACCAAAGUGGGGGACCUUCGGGCCUCACACCAUCGGAUGUGCCCAGAUGGGAUUAGCUAGUAGGUGGGGUAAUGGCUCACCUAGGCGACGAUCCCUAGCUGGUCUGAGAGGAUGACCAGCCACACUGGAACUGAGACACGGUCCAGACUCCUACGGGAGGCAGCAGUGGGGAAUAUUGCACAAUGGGCGCAAGCCUGAUGCAGCCAUGCCGCGUGUAUGAAGAAGGCCUUCGGGUUGUAAAGUACUUUCAGCGGGGAGGAAGGCGAUGUGGUUAAUAACCGCAUCGAUUGACGUUACCCGCAGAAGAAGCACCGGCUAACUCCGUGCCAGCAGCCGCGGUAAUACGGAGGGUGCAAGCGUUAAUCGGAAUUACUGGGCGUAAAGCGCACGCAGGCGGUCUGUCAAGUCGGAUGUGAAAUCCCCGGGCUUAACCUGGGAACUGCAUUCGAAACUGGCAGGCUAGAGUCUUG